RNAcentral lists this ribosomal RNA (468 nucleotides) under uncultured bacterium. RNAcentral describes it as "partial 16S ribosomal RNA". It matches the Rfam family "Bacterial small subunit ribosomal RNA", at positions 28 to 507 of the family's 1533-position model. The record is from RNAcentral.
GACGAACGCUGGCGGCGUGCUUAACACAUGCAAGUCGAACGGAAAGGCCCUGCUUUUGUGGGGUGCUCGAUUGGCGCACGCGUGAGUAACACGUGAGUAACCUGCCCUUGACUUUCGGAUAACUUCAGGAAACUGGGGCUCUUACCCGAUAUGAGCUCCUGCUGCAUAGUGUGGGUUGGAAAAUUUCGGCGGUUGUGGCUGGACUCGCGGCUUAUCAGCUUGUUGGUGGGGUAGUGGCUUACCAAGGCUUUGACGGGUAGCCGGCCUGAGAGGGUUACCGGCCACAUGGGGACUGAGAUACGGCCCAGAAGCCUACGGGAGGCAGCAGUGGGGAAUAUUGCACAAUGGGCGGAAGCCUGAUGCAGCAACGCCGCGUGCGGGAUGACGGCUUUUGGGGUGUAAACCGAUUUGGCCGGUGACGAAGAGUGAGUGACGGUAAUGGGUAAAGAAGCACCGGCUAACUACGUG